Molecule: long non-coding RNA, 267 nt
Filed under: Sus scrofa (pig)
Lineage: Eukaryota; Metazoa; Chordata; Mammalia; Artiodactyla; Suidae
Description: lncRNA (ENSSSCG00035038658.1)
Source: RNAcentral
AGCUGAUUCCCAACCAGGCCCUGUUCUAAGUCCUAAAGAUAGAAAGGAACACUGAAAAAAAUCUACUCUAGUGGAACUUGCAUUCAAGUAUGGAAGGCUGGCAAUAAAUAAACAAAUAAACAAGGGUUUUAUGAAGCUCUGUGAGUGAAGAUUCUUCCAGACAGAGGACCAGGACUGCAAAUGCCCUGAGACAGCAGUGUGCUUGGCAUGUUCAUGACUGCACCAUCUUGACCUGAUGGAUGAAUUCGGUGUCCCACAGCCUCAGCU